This is a long non-coding RNA of Brassica napus (rape), 1631 nucleotides long. RefSeq lists it as uncharacterized. The record is from RefSeq and is a predicted model, not a curated record. Lineage: Eukaryota; Viridiplantae; Streptophyta; Magnoliopsida; Brassicales; Brassicaceae. The transcript is spliced from 3 exons.
GGCUUACCUCUCUCUCACUUCCUCUCUAUGUUUGGUUGAAUGUCUAAUUUAUUACUACCCGUGGUUGUUCUUUGUUUGACUAAGUCACUCUGUUAGUAAACAAUGUAGGCCACUCCUCAAGCUAAUUUGUAAGGUGACGUACCCACCGCCCUCACCAAGCGUACUCAAGAUGGAGGCACAGAAGUGGUGGAGGCUAAAGCAGGAAAAGGUUCAGCUACAUUGUCGAUGGUGUAAGUAUUCUGUUUUGCUAGCAUUUUCGUAAUUGUUCUCACUUUUUCUUGAUCUACUUUUGAUUCUCAACUCCUGUAAUCUGACAACCGUUGUCACAGCUAUGCUGGAGCGCUAUUCGCUGAUGCAUGCUUGAAGGGACUCAACGGAGUUCCAGAUGUUGAAGAAUGCUCGUACGUGCAAUCCACAAUCACUGAGCUUCCUUUCUUUGCCUCAAAGGUGAGGUUGGGGAAGAACGGUGUGGAGGACGUUCUUGAUUUGGGACCACUCUCAGACUUUGAGAAGGAAGGGUUGGAAGCACUGAAGCCAAAGCUCAAGUCUUUCAUUGAGAAGGGAGUUAAGUUUGCCAACCAAUGAGUAAAUCGACUUGAGUCUAUUUGUCCAAUUUACGGUUAUAAUCCAUGUUUGAGGCUCUUUGUUUCAUUUCCCAAAGCACAAAGAUAAAACAGUAACAUGUCAGUUAAUUUAUGUUGGGAUUUUUAUUUGCUUUUUGAAUAAAACUCUAACCUCUUAGACUUUAGCAUUAAACACACUUUGAUGAGGGCGAGAAAGAUGACCACAGCGACAGACCGUCGUCUAUUUCAUCUAUAUCUCACCAUUGAAAAAGUUCCCGACAACAAUACACACAAAGACAAAAGAUUGUGAAGUAGAGAUAAUUGUUCAUGAGCAUGUGCUAAGAGCAGCUCCAUUGGAAGCUCUAGCAACGGGUUUCAAAAAAAUAAAGGCUUAACAAUAAAUGAAAAAUAGAAAGAAAGAAGAGAACCGGUAAUUAACUUGGCAUUUUUAGGAUUUGUUGGAACCCCUACGUGGCUACUUCUAAUUGGACCGAUUCUACUACUCUCUCUCCUUCUUCGGGGUUUCCGUCGAAACCCAUAUUUUCUUUUCUUUCUUCCUCUUUCCUCGAUCUCUCCGUCUAUGGCGAUUCUCUGGCGAUAUCUGGAAGGAUGAAACUCCAGCGAAUGAUCGGUCAUCUUCUUCUUCUCAUUUUGCAAGAAUGAAAGCUCUCUUCGUCCUCUCGUUGCCCGUCUCGACGGAUCUUCACCGAACCGUCUUCUUCUUCUUCUCACCGUUGAAGACGAAACCGUUGGAUUCGAUCAUGGAUUUGGAUAGAUCGAAAACCAAAUCUCCGAAGGAACUCACAGCGAUCUGUAUAACUUGGGACGAGGGCAUAUUGGGAUCAUUAUGAAAGCUUCCCACUUCAUCGUUUGGUCAUUCAACGAGCAGCCGAAUGGUAAUAACAAUAUCAUCAGCUUUGUUUAUUGUCCAAAUGAAUCUUUGACUUGUUUUUCUUCUUAUGUUUGAUGAUAUAUCAAUUGCAGCCAUUACUUUGUUAUUCCAUUGUGGAGAGGAAAUGGUUACAUGCGUAUUGUGUGCUCAAGGUUUGUUAAUAUUCUUUGAUCUCA